GAUGAACGCUGACAGAAUGCUUAACACAUGCAAGUCGAUGGGGAAGUGGUGCUUGCACCAUGGCAACCAUGGCGGACGGGUGAGUAACGCGUAAGGGACUUACCUGCAGGACUGGGAUAACAGGGGGAAACACCUGACAAGACCGGAUAAUGUCAUGGAGCUGCAUGGCUUUAUGAUGAAAGGAGACGCCUGCGGAGAGCCUUGCGUCCUAUUAGCUAGUUGGUGAGGUAAUGGCUCACCAAGGCGAAGAUAGGUAGCCGGCCUGAGAGGGUGGACGGCCACAAGGGGACUGAGAUACGGCCCUUACUCCUACGGGAGGCAGCAGUGGGGAAUAUUGGACAAUGGGGGCAACCCUGAUCCAGCAAUUCUGUGUGCACGAAGAAGGUUUUCGGAUUGUAAAGUGCUUUCAGCAGGGAAGAAGUAAGUGACGGUACCUGCAGAAGAAGCGACGGCUAAAUACGUG
RNAcentral lists this ribosomal RNA (463 nucleotides) under uncultured bacterium. RNAcentral describes it as "partial 16S ribosomal RNA". It matches the Rfam family "Bacterial small subunit ribosomal RNA", at positions 28 to 507 of the family's 1533-position model. The record is from RNAcentral.